RNAcentral lists this ribosomal RNA (894 nucleotides) under Bacillus sp. ES1. RNAcentral's name for it is "partial 16S ribosomal RNA". It matches the Rfam family "Bacterial small subunit ribosomal RNA", at positions 28 to 864 of the family's 1533-position model. The record is from RNAcentral. Lineage: Bacteria; Bacillati; Bacillota; Bacilli; Caryophanales; Bacillaceae.
GACGAACGCUGGCGGCGUGCCUAAUACAUGCAAGUCGAGCGGACAGAAGGGAGCUUGCUCCCGGAUGUUAGCGGCGGACGGGUGAGUAACACGUGGGUAACCUGCCUGUAAGACUGGGAUAACUCCGGGAAACCGGAGCUAAUACCGGAUAGUUCCUUGAACCGCAUGGUUCAAGGAUGAAAGACGGUUUCGGCUGUCACUUACAGAUGGACCCGCGGCGCAUUAGCUAGUUGGUGGGGUAAUGGCUCACCAAGGCGACGAUGCGUAGCCGACCUGAGAGGGUGAUCGCCACACUGGGACUGAGACACGCCCAGACUCCUACGGGAGGCAGCAGUAGGGAAUCUUCCGCAAUGGACGAAAGUCUGACGGAGCAACGCCGCGUGAGUGAUGAAGGUUUUCGGAUCGUAAAGCUCUGUUGUUAGGGAAAAACAAGUGCAAGAGAACUUGCUCGCCCUUGGCGGGACCUAACCAGAAAGCCCGGGUAACUUACGUGCCACAGGCCGGGUAAUACGUAAGUGGCAAGCUUUGUCCGGAAUUUUUUGGGCCGAAAAGGGUUCCAAUGGGGUUUUUUAAAUUUUGGUAGGAAAACCCCCCCCCCCCACCCGGGGGGGGCUUUUUGGAAACUGGGAAAUCUUGGGGGAGGAAGAAAGGGGGGUGGGUUUUACCCCUUGGGGGGGGAAAAAACGCCGAAAAAUUUGGGGAAAAACCCCCGGGGGGGGGGGGCCCCUUUUUUUUCUCUGAAACCCCCCCCCCAAAGAGCCCCAACCCGGGGGGGAGCCAAAAAAAAAUUAAAACUCCCUUUGGGGACCCCCCCCCCCAAAAAAAAAAAGGGGGGCGAAAGGGGGGGGGGGGGUUCCCCCCCCCUUUCGGGGGGGGGAAAAAAAAAAAAAAAAG